Molecule: microRNA precursor, 75 nt
Filed under: Myotis lucifugus (little brown bat)
Lineage: Eukaryota; Metazoa; Chordata; Mammalia; Chiroptera; Vespertilionidae
Description: miRNA (ENSMLUG00000020534.1)
Source: RNAcentral
AUCUCGCUGGGGCCUCCAAAUGUUGUGGCCCAGUGUUCGUAAGAGUAAGACCACCAACUCCAAUUAGGUCUUAAG